AUGCAAGGGGAGCCAAAUAUUACUGAGGUGCUCGUGCCUGCAGAAAUUGAUGCCUUAAUCAGCGAGUUUGAGCACCUGUUCGCGGAGCCGAAGGGACUGCCAUCGCAGCGUUCAUUCAAUCACACCAUACCCUCUUCCGGGAGCAAAGCCAGUCAAUGUUCGUCCGUACCAUUACAGUCCAGCUCAAAAGGACGAGAUCGAGAGACAGGUAGCAGACAUGCUUGCGUAGGGGAUUAUUGCGCCUAG
RNAcentral lists this ribosomal RNA (246 nucleotides) under Triticum aestivum (bread wheat). RNAcentral describes it as "partial small subunit ribosomal RNA". The record is from RNAcentral. Lineage: Eukaryota; Viridiplantae; Streptophyta; Magnoliopsida; Poales; Poaceae.